This 253-nucleotide ribosomal RNA is filed under the name uncultured bacterium. Its description in RNAcentral is "partial 16S ribosomal RNA". It matches the Rfam family "Bacterial small subunit ribosomal RNA", at positions 524 to 776 of the family's 1533-position model. The record is from RNAcentral.
UACGUAGGUGGCAAGCGUUGUCCGGAAUUAUUGGGCGUAAAGCGCGCGCAGGCGGUCCUUUAAGUCUGAUGUGAAAGCCCACGGCUCAACCGUGGAGGGUCAUCGGAAACUGGAGGACUUGAGUGCAGAAGAGGAAAGUGGAAUUCCAUGUGUAGCGGUGAAAUGCGUAGAGAUGUGGAGGAACACCAGUGGCGAAGGCGACUUUCUGGUCUGUAACUGACGCUGAGGCGCGAAAGCGUGGGGAGCAAACAGG